This 77-nucleotide microRNA precursor is filed under the name Myotis davidii. RNAcentral describes it as "mir-9193 microRNA precursor family". It matches the Rfam family "mir-9193 microRNA precursor family". The record is from Rfam by way of RNAcentral. Lineage: Eukaryota; Metazoa; Chordata; Mammalia; Chiroptera; Vespertilionidae.
CGUGCACUAAUGGGGGAGUCCCUUAGACAGGACUGCAAGAGGGUGCAGGCCUGGCCGAGGGACUCCACCAGUGCACA